UAAGAAGGGGGCGAGCGUUGUUCGGAAUUACUGGGCGUAAAGGGCGCGUAGGCGGUCUUGUAAGUCAGAUGUGAAAGCCCCGGGCUCAACACGGGAAUAGCAUUUGAUACUGCGAGGCUUGAGUCCGGGAGAGGAUGGCGGAAUUCCCAGUGGAGAGGUGAAAUUCGUAGAUAUUGGGAAGAACACCGGUGGCGAAGGCGGCCAUCUGGACCGGUACUGACGCUGAGGCGCGAAAGCGUGGGGAGCAAACAGG
RNAcentral lists this ribosomal RNA (253 nucleotides) under uncultured bacterium. RNAcentral's name for it is "partial 16S ribosomal RNA". It matches the Rfam family "Bacterial small subunit ribosomal RNA", at positions 524 to 776 of the family's 1533-position model. The record is from RNAcentral.